This 43-nucleotide ribosomal RNA is filed under the name Polymerus basalis. RNAcentral's name for it is "partial 16S ribosomal RNA". The record is from RNAcentral. Lineage: Eukaryota; Metazoa; Arthropoda; Insecta; Hemiptera; Miridae.
GGACCUAAUUUUAGGAAUAUUUUUUACUUUAUGAAUAAAAAUU